This 305-nucleotide long non-coding RNA is filed under the name Linum usitatissimum (flax). RNAcentral's name for it is "long non-coding RNA (LUSI_LNC006817)". Lineage: Eukaryota; Viridiplantae; Streptophyta; Magnoliopsida; Malpighiales; Linaceae. The record is from RNAcentral.
CGUUUCGAAUUUCAAAAUUUUAAUUACAAAUAAAUGGACGAAAACUAAAAAACGUAUAAAACUUAUGACCUAGAUUAGUCAUCCUCCUAUGUGUCAACACCUCGCCCCUCCCUUGCAUCGUCAUCAUCACCUUCACUCCUAUAAAUAAGACUUUAAACAACAGAGGGAGGGGGGGAUAGAAAGGGAGAAUCUACCGAUUACAACGAACACCUCCCCAAAAUCCCCUAAUCCCACUACACCCUAAAUCCAUUACACCCUAUAUUCAUCACACCCUAAAUCAUACUACACAAUCCCAUUACAAAAGA